UAGUCGGAACCCGAAAAGACAAAAUAGAGUAGGGA
Molecule: regulatory RNA element, 35 nt
Rfam family: DUF805b RNA
About the family: Bacteroidetes, Chlorobi (1 example), Proteobacteria. Lineage (Flavobacteria)
Source: Rfam